This 468-nucleotide ribosomal RNA is filed under the name uncultured bacterium. RNAcentral's name for it is "partial 16S ribosomal RNA". It matches the Rfam family "Bacterial small subunit ribosomal RNA", at positions 28 to 507 of the family's 1533-position model. The record is from RNAcentral.
GACGAACGCUGGCGGCGUGCUUAACACAUGCAAGUCGAACGGAAAGGCCCUGCUUUUGUGGGGUGCUCGAGUGGCGAACGGGUGAGUAACACGUGAGUAACCUGCCCUUGACUUUGGGAUAACUUCAGGAAACUGGGGCUAAUACCGGAUAGGAGCUCCUGCUGCAUGGUGGGGGUUGGAAAGUUUCGGCGGUUGGGGAUGGACUCGCGGCUUAUCAGCUUGUUGGUGGGGUAGUGGCUUACCAAGGCUUUGACGGGUAGCCGGCCUGAGAGGGUGACUGGCCACAUUGGGACUGAGAUACGGCCCAGACCCCUACGGGAGGCAGCAGUGGGGAAUAUUGCACAAUGGGCGGAAGCCUGAUGCAGCAACGCCGCGUGCGGGAUGACGGCCUUCGGGUUGUAAACCGCUUUCGCCUGUGACGAAGCGUGAGUGACGGUAAUGGGUAAAGAAGCACCGGCUAACUACGUG